RNAcentral lists this transfer RNA (72 nucleotides) under Camelus bactrianus (Bactrian camel). It matches the Rfam family "tRNA". From Rfam's summary of the family: Transfer RNA (tRNA) molecules are approximately 80 nucleotides in length. Their secondary structure includes four short double-helical elements and three loops (D, anti-codon, and T loops). Further hydrogen bonds mediate the characteristic L-shaped molecular structure. tRNAs have two regions of fundamental functional importance: the anti-codon, which is responsible for specific mRNA codon recognition, and the 3' end, to which the tRNAs corresponding amino acid is attached (by aminoacyl-tRNA synthetases). tRNAs cope with the degeneracy of the genetic code in two manners: having more than one tRNA (with a specific anti-codon) for a particular amino acid; and 'wobble' base-pairing, i.e. permitting non-standard base-pairing at the 3rd anti-codon position. The record is from Rfam by way of RNAcentral. RNAcentral also lists the same sequence under 2 other names. Lineage: Eukaryota; Metazoa; Chordata; Mammalia; Artiodactyla; Camelidae.
GAGGGUAUAACUCAGUGGCAUAGUGUAUGCCUAGCAUGCACGAAGUCCUGGGUUCAAUCCCCAGUACUUACA